RNAcentral lists this transfer RNA (94 nucleotides) under Bacteroidetes bacterium ADurb.Bin028. Its description in RNAcentral is "tRNA-Ser". It matches the Rfam family "tRNA". From Rfam's summary of the family: Transfer RNA (tRNA) molecules are approximately 80 nucleotides in length. RNAcentral also lists the same sequence under 2 other names. Lineage: Bacteria; Pseudomonadati; Bacteroidota. The record is from RNAcentral.
GGAGAGAUGGCCGAGUUGGUCGAAGGCGCACGCCUGGAAAGUGUGUAGGCGGCGUGAAACCGUCUCGUGGGUUCGAAUCCCACUCUCUCCGCCA